GACGAACGCUGGCGGCGUGCUUAACACAUGCAAGUCGAACGGAAAGGCCCUGCUUUUGUUGGGUGCUCGAUUGGCGAACGGGUGAGUAACACGUGAGUAACCUGCCCUUGACUUUCUGAUAACUUCAGGAAACUCGGGCGCAUACCCGAUAGAAGCUCCUGCUGCAUGUGGUGGGUUGGAAAGUUUCGGCGUUUGGGGCUAGACUCGCUGCUUAUCAGCUGGUUGGUGGGGUAGUGGCUUACCAAGGCUUUGAGGGGUAGCCGGCCUGAGAGGGUGACCGGCGACAUUGGGACUGAGAGACGGCGCAGACGCCUACGGGAGGCAGCAGUGGGGAAUAUUGCACAAUGGGGGGAAGCCUGAUGCAGCAGCGUCGCGUGCGGGAUGACGGCUUUCGGGUUGUAAACAGCUUUCGCCUGUGACGAAGCGUGAGUGACGGUAAUGGGUAAAGAAGCACCGGCUAACUACGUG
Molecule: ribosomal RNA, 468 nt
Filed under: uncultured bacterium
Lineage: Bacteria
Description: partial 16S ribosomal RNA
Rfam family: Bacterial small subunit ribosomal RNA
Source: RNAcentral